CCGUCCCCAGCCUCUGCACUGAGCCUCUGCAGCAGGCAGGAAGUCCUGAACAGCCCGGCCUCGGGAACUGGGCGAGGGGUGGGUUCCUUGAGCCUAGAAAGCGAGGAACACCCAGCUGGAGCUCUCUGGAGCGUAGACCAUCCUCCUCAGGUUCAAGGUUUGUCUCCCCAGUACCCAGCACGGACCCUAGCCCAAGACGCUAGCUGCGUGACCCUUGGACAAGUCAGUCUGCCUGUGCCUAGUUUCUUCAUUUGUAAAACGGAGAUCAUUCUACUUAUUUCCUACUUCACAGGGUUGUUGUGAGGAUCAAAUAAGAUAAGCUAUUUAAGGCACUUCUCAAAACUUAAAGCAGUAUAUGUUCGCUAUCAUUAUUGGACUCCGGAGGGGGAAUGGUGGUAGAUCGUCGUGUACCAGAAGUCAAGAGAUUUUCAUUUUUCACUCAAUCCCCAAGGACCUAGAACAUAUUUCUUCUCAGGGAAGAAGAAGGACUUCUUUCUAGACUGCAUGACAUUGAGUCACAUACUGUCCCAUGUGUAGAAGAUCAGCUGAAAUAUCUUGAUUGAUGAGAGAUUGAGCCCAAACCUCCUUAGCCCACCACAUCUAGUGAGCUCCAGACCAGGCUUUACAUCCUAUCCAGCUGUCUGCCUAGGCCAUCUUGCCACAUGUCCUGCUGCAGCCCUGGUUCUGAAAUGGCAUCCUCUGGAAGAAGUUAUCAAAUCCAGCCAUCAUUUUCUAGGUCUGAGUUAGCUGGAACAGAUGUUCCCUGUGGGAAGUGCUCUUGCAACUGGUUGUGUCUGCCGGGAGCUGUGGAAAUGGUCAGCACAGAAGCCAGGGAAAAGGACAUGGAUGGAACAAAUAAAUACAUACUGAGCUGCUUGCUGCGUCCAGCUGAGACCUUCCCCUUUCUCUGAGAGUGGUGCCCAUGGCAAAUGCCUUAGACACAAGGUAUCAAGACACUAUUUGUGACCUUCCUCACCUCCUUCCCCAUUCCCUGAUGGCCUUGGACAUUUCCAGCAUCUUUACUUAAAGGUGUUUCUCAACAUAGUGAACCAAGAGAUGUCUCUUGAGGACUACAAUAAGAAGACUAAUGGAUGUCUCAAAUUGUUACAAGAACAAUUGAAAGAUCUUAUUUAAGCCAUAUGAAGAGUCUGAAAAUGAUCUGAAGGCCUUACAAAAUGUUGGGCGGAUUGUGGGUGAAUUGCUGAAACAAAUAAUGGAAGAAAAAUUCAUUGUUAAAGCAACAAAUGGACCAAGACAUGUUGUGAGUUGUUAGUAUCAUCUUGACAAAAGUAAUCUGAAGCCACGGACAAGAAUUGCUUUGAAUAUGACUACACUUACUCUCAUGAGAUAUUUGUAAAAAAAAAAAAAAAAAUAUAUAUAUAUAUAUAUAU
This is an RNA transcript of Phascolarctos cinereus (koala), 1391 nucleotides long. It is a transcript of the gene named 26S proteasome regulatory subunit 10B-like, with no coding region annotated. The record is from RefSeq and is a predicted model, not a curated record. NCBI's taxonomy places the organism in Eukaryota, Metazoa, Chordata, Mammalia, Diprotodontia, Phascolarctidae.